Molecule: unclassified non-coding RNA, 210 nt
Filed under: rhizosphere metagenome
Description: partial ribosomal RNA internal transcribed spacer region
Source: RNAcentral
GAAUAUUUGAAGGGGUUGUUUGCUGGUCCCUAGCGGGACAUCGUGCACGCCUCGUUCAAAAAUCCAACCUUCAUACCCCUGUGCAUCAUUUGUAGGGUUGCGGCCGUCAGGCCUGCGCUCUAUGUUUAUCACAAACUCUGUAGUAUGUGUAGAAUGACAUCGCGUAUAACGCAUUUAUAUACAACUUUCAGCAACGGAUCUCUUGGCUCU